AAACGAGGGAAAUGUAGUAACAAUCAAGGCUGCAAACGGAGUCUCAAGCACUUUUGGUGGUUUUUGUUAGCACCUGGAUGACAAGGGCACAAGUCCAAAGGUGUCACCUGAUCAUCAGGAACCUUGGGGAUCUGACAGCAGCCAAAGUCCACGGCCACCUUGCUGGCGCUACCGUCCAUCAAGGCUUCUUCCACUGCAGCAAAGGCGUGGCGCACCACGGCCAGGCACUGUAAGAGGAUGACGAGGAAGAGGAGGGCAGAAAAGUCCAGCGUUGCCUUUACAGGAGCAGAAGAGGCCACGGCCCCGAACACCAGGAAAUGAGACUUGGACACAGAGUAUAUUGAGGAUGACUGUCAGGAAGCUGUUGACUGAGAGAAACACCAUAUAACCGGGCUAUUCAAUUAGCGGCCCCAGGGCUGGAACAGGAUCCAGCACCUCUUGGUUUUGGCCUGCCUGCGUUCUGGGACUUGUUUGGGGCGACCCGGUA
This is a long non-coding RNA of Solea solea (common sole), 487 nucleotides long. RefSeq lists it as uncharacterized. The transcript is spliced from 4 exons. The record is from RefSeq and is a predicted model, not a curated record. Lineage: Eukaryota; Metazoa; Chordata; Actinopteri; Pleuronectiformes; Soleidae.